Molecule: transfer RNA, 65 nt
Filed under: Japananus hyalinus
Lineage: Eukaryota; Metazoa; Arthropoda; Insecta; Hemiptera; Cicadellidae
Description: tRNA-Val
Source: RNAcentral
CAGAUUAUAGCUUAUUUAAAGCUUAUUUUUUACAUUAAUAAGAAAUUCUUGUUGAUUUAAUCUGA